GCUGAUGUAGCUCAGUUGGUAGAGCAGCUCAUUCGUAAUGAGCAGGUCGUAGGUUCAAGUCCUAUAAUCAGCUCCA
RNAcentral lists this transfer RNA (76 nucleotides) under Selenomonas sp. RNAcentral's name for it is "tRNA-Thr". It matches the Rfam family "tRNA". Rfam says of the family: Transfer RNA (tRNA) molecules are approximately 80 nucleotides in length. Their secondary structure includes four short double-helical elements and three loops (D, anti-codon, and T loops). Further hydrogen bonds mediate the characteristic L-shaped molecular structure. tRNAs have two regions of fundamental functional importance: the anti-codon, which is responsible for specific mRNA codon recognition, and the 3' end, to which the tRNAs corresponding amino acid is attached (by aminoacyl-tRNA synthetases). tRNAs cope with the degeneracy of the genetic code in two manners: having more than one tRNA (with a specific anti-codon) for a particular amino acid; and 'wobble' base-pairing, i.e. permitting non-standard base-pairing at the 3rd anti-codon position. Lineage: Bacteria; Bacillati; Bacillota; Negativicutes; Selenomonadales; Selenomonadaceae. The record is from RNAcentral.